Molecule: transfer RNA, 72 nt
Filed under: Armillaria ostoyae
Lineage: Eukaryota; Fungi; Basidiomycota; Agaricomycetes; Agaricales; Physalacriaceae
Rfam family: tRNA
About the family: Transfer RNA (tRNA) molecules are approximately 80 nucleotides in length. Their secondary structure includes four short double-helical elements and three loops (D, anti-codon, and T loops).
Source: RNAcentral
GCCCGUGUAGCUCAGUGGUAGAGCAUUGUACUUAUGAUGCAAGGGUCUCGAGUUCGAAUCUCGGCAUGGGCA